RNAcentral lists this ribosomal RNA (800 nucleotides) under uncultured Glomeromycotina. RNAcentral describes it as "SSU rRNA". It matches the Rfam family "Eukaryotic small subunit ribosomal RNA", at positions 310 to 1113 of the family's 1831-position model. Lineage: Eukaryota; Fungi; Glomeromycota. The record is from RNAcentral.
GAUUAUCAACUUUCGAUGGUAGGAUAGAGGCCUACCAUGGUGGUAACGGGUAACGGGGUGUUAGGGCACGACACCGGAGAGGGAGCCUGAGAAACGGCUACCACAUCCAAGGAUGGCAGCAGGCGCGCAAAUUACCCAAUCCCGACACGGGGAGGUAGUGACAAUAAAUAACAAUACGGGGUUCUUUAGGAUUUCGUAAUUGGAAUGAGUACAAUUUAAAUCUCUUAACGAGGAACAAUUGGAGGGCAAGUCUGGUGCCAGCAGCCGCGGUAAUUCCAGCUCCAAUAGCGUAUAUUAAAGUUGUUGCAGUUAAAAAGCUCGUAGUUGAAUUUCGGGAUCAAUAUGUUGGUCGUGCCUCGGUACGUACUAGCAUAUUGGUUUCUCCUUUCUGAAGAACCAUGAUGUCAUUUAUUUGGUGUCGUGGGGAAUCAAGACUGUUACUUUGAAAAAAUUAGAGUGUUUAAAGCAGGCUCACGCUUGAAUACAUUAGCAUGGAAUAAUGAAAUAGGACGUUUGACUCUAUUUUGUUGGUUUCUAGGAUCGACGUAAUGAUUAAUAGGGAUAGUUGGGGGCAUUAGUAUUCAAUUGUCAGAGGUGAAAUUCUUGGAUUUAUUGAAGACUAACUACUGCGAAAGCAUUUGCCAAGGAUGUUUUCAUUAAUCAAGAACGAAAGUUAGGGGAUCGAAGACGAUCAGAUACCGUCGUAGUCUUAACCAUAAACUAUGCCGACUAGGGAUCGGAUGAUGUUAAUUUUUUAAUGACUCAUUCGGCGCCUUACGGGAAACCAAAGUGUUUGGGUU